GGGGAGGGGUUGGUCACAGACCUCUGUUGGGGUGAGGUGGAGAGAGGAUGGAGGAAGAGUUGGGGGUGAUGGGACCCCCUUGGGAUUGGGGGUAGGGAUGGGGGAGCUGUCCUUUGGGGGUUCUCCCACGUGUCACAGCAUCACGGUGCCACCCCAAAUUCUCCAUUUCCCUCCUACACACCAGGGGUGGGGGCAGUUCUUUGGGGGUCCCAUAAAUGGUCCUCCUACAGGUCACAGGGUCCCGGUACCACCCCUAAACCCCCCAUUCCCCCCCCAUCUCAGGGAUGGGCACAGCCCCUUCUUUGGGUGCCCCUUAGGGGGUCCUCAUAUAGGACACAGGAUCGUAGUGCCACCCCAAAACCCCCCAUUUCUCCCCCACACCCCAGGGAUGGGAGCAACCCCUUCUUUGGGGGUCCCAUAAGUGUUCCUCCUAUGGGUCACAGUGUUGCGGUGCCAUCGCCAAACCCCCCAAUUUCCCCCCCAAACUCAAGGUGUGGGCACAGCCCCUUUGGGUGCCCUUUUGGUGUUCCUCGUAUGUGUCACUGGGUCCCAGUGCCACCCCCAAACCCCCCAUCUCCCCCCCACAUCCAAGUGGUGGGCACAGUCCCUUCUUUGGGUGUCCCUUAGGGGGUCCUCCUAUGGGUUACAGGGUCCCAGUACCACCCCUAAACCCCCCAUUCCCUCCCCAUCUCAGUGGUGGGCACAACCCCUUCUUUGGGGGUGCCAUAAGUGUUCCUCCUAUGUGUCACAGGAUCCCAGAACCACCCCCACAGCCCAGUGGUGGGCACAGCCCCUUCUUUGGGUGCCCCUUAGGGGAUCCUCUUAUGGGUCACAGGAUCCCAGUGCCACCCCCAAACCCCCUAUUUCCCCCCCACACCCGAGCAGUGGGCACAGCCCCUUCUUUGGGUGCCAUUUAGAGGGCCUCCUAUGGGACGCAGGGUCCCAGUGCCACUCCCAAAACCCCUGUUUCUCCCCCACAUCCCAGGGGUGGGGGCAUCCCCUUCGUUGGGGGUCCCAUAAGUGUUUCUACUAUGUGUCACAGGGUCCCGAUGCCACCUCCAAACCCCCCAUUUCCCCCCCAAACUCAAGUGGUGGGCACAGCCCCUACUUUGGGUGCUCUCCUUCUUUGGGGUUCCUCUUGUGGGUCACAGGAUCCCGGUACCACCCCCAAACUCCCCAUCUCCCCCCCACACCCCAGGGGUGGGCACAGUCCCUUCUUUGGGUGCCCCUUAGGGGACCCUCCUAUGGGACACAGGGUCCUGGUGCCACCCCCAAACCCCCCAAUUUCCCCCCCCAAACUCAAGGUGUGGGCACAGCCCCUUCUUUGGGUGCCCUUUUGGGGUUCCUCGUAUGGGUCACAGGAUCCCGGUACCACCCCAAACCCCCCAUCUCCCCCCCAAAAUCAGAUCCUGCAGGCGGACGGCAGCAAUUACUGCGCCUGCGUCAACGCCGCCACGCUGGCCAUCAUCGACGCCGGCAUCGCACUGCGCGACUUCGUCUGCGCCGGCUCGGCGGGUUUGGCGGAGGACGCGGCGUUGGCGGACCUGAGUUACAUCGAGGAGGCGGCCGGGGGGCCGCAGGGAGGUCUGGCGAUGCGGGCCGGGGGCGGGGCUUUGGUGCAGAUGGACGCGCGGCUGCACCACGAGAGACUGGAGGCGGUGAUGGACGCCGCCGCCGCCGCCUGCCGCGCCGUGCACGCCGUGCUGGAGGAGGCGCUGAACCUUCCCAGCAACGCACGCUCUGUAUGCAGCUGUAUUACGUCUAUUCUGUCACAACACUGCAAGAAGAUCCCGCAGGAGACCAAAGCAGGGAACAACCGAUAGCAAACCUGAGAAAGCACCUGAAGAGACACCUGAAGGCCUGGCAUCAUCCCCCCCCCCGGUGCUCCUUGUUUAACGAGGACUCGGAGACAAUCACCACAUCAAUGCGACAAGGAGAGCGCUGGCACAUCCUGGAACAACAGGAUGGCUGCCGGCUGACAGCAGGUAACCAACAACCAAAACUGAUCAGGUGGUGAACCUGGAGCGCCCAGCCAGUGGGGAAACAGGGCAGGGGAUGGGAAAGGGAAAAGCAGGGGUAAAGGCUGGCAUCUUGUGCACAUAGGCGCUCCUGCUUGCGGGACGCCCGCC
Chrysolophus pictus (golden pheasant) is the source of this 2129-nucleotide long non-coding RNA. NCBI's taxonomy places the organism in Eukaryota, Metazoa, Chordata, Aves, Galliformes, Phasianidae. The record is from Ensembl.